UAUAACUCAGAUUUGCAAUCUGGCCCCUUCGGUGUCCGAGUUGUAAUUUGAAGAAGGUAUCUUUGGUUUUGGCUCUUGUCUAUGUUCCUUGGAACAGGACGACACAGAGGGUGAGAAUCCCGUGCGAUGAGAUGCCCAAUUCCAUGUAAAGUUCCUUCGACGAGUCGAGUUGUUUGGGAAUGCAGCUCUAAGUGGGUGGUAAAUUCCAUCUAAAGCUAAAUAUUGGCGAGAGACCGAUAGCGAACAAGUACUGUGAAGGAAAGAUGAAAAGAACUUUGAAAAGAGAGUGAAAAAGUACGUGAAAUUGUUGAAAGGGAAGGGCUUGAGGUCAGACUUGGUUUUACCAGGCCAGCAUCAGUUUGGAUGGCAGGAUAAUAGCUUAGGAAUGUGGCACUGCUUCGGUAGUGUGUUAUAGCCUGGGUUGAUACUGCCUGUCUAGACUGAGGACUGCGUCUUUGACUAGGAUGCUGGCAUAAUGACCUUAAGCC
This 488-nucleotide ribosomal RNA is filed under the name Yamadazyma mexicana. RNAcentral's name for it is "eukaryotic LSU rRNA". It matches the Rfam family "Eukaryotic large subunit ribosomal RNA", at positions 103 to 646 of the family's 3401-position model. Lineage: Eukaryota; Fungi; Ascomycota; Pichiomycetes; Serinales; Debaryomycetaceae. The record is from RNAcentral.